RNAcentral lists this long non-coding RNA (787 nucleotides) under Salmo salar (Atlantic salmon). RNAcentral's name for it is "lncRNA (ENSSSAG00000107562.1)". The record is from RNAcentral. Lineage: Eukaryota; Metazoa; Chordata; Actinopteri; Salmoniformes; Salmonidae.
CCUGAACGAUGACGAGGCAGCCUCUGGCUGAAACAGAUUAUCGCCUUAUCCAAGUGGCCGAUCAGAGGACCAUUGAAUGAGGCGCGUGCACGAUUCGCCCCCGUGGAGAAAUUUCAUUCGGCUGUUUAGCUUAUUGCAGAUUCCCGGUCGGAAUAUUAUUGCUUUUCUACGAGAUAAAUGGCAUAAAAAUUGGUUUUAAACAGCGGUUGACAUGCUUCGAAGUACGGUAAUGGAAUAUUUAGACAUUUUUUGUCACGCCAUGCGCACGACCGUUAUUUACCAUUCGUAUAGUGUCUAGAACGCACGAACAAAACAGAGGAUAUUUGGAUAUAACGAUGGAUUAUUUGGGACCAAACCUACAUUUGUUAUUGAAGUAGAAGUCCUGGGAGUGCAUUCUGACGAAGAACAGGAAAGGACCUGAGCCCUAGGACCAUGCCUCAGGACUACAUGACAGGAUGACUCCUUGCUGUCCCCAGUCCGCCUGGCCGUGCUGCUGCUCCAGUUUCAACUGUUCUGCCUGCGGCUAUGGAACCCUGACCUGUUCACCAGACGUGCUACCUGUCCCAGACCUGCUGUUUUCAACUCUCUAGAGACAGCAGGAGCGGUAGAGAUACUCUCAAUGAUCGGCUAUGAAAAGCCAACUGACAUUUACUCUUGAGUUUCAGCAGAGGGAGAGACCUGCCUUUCCUCCAGUGAGACUGACCAGAGAGAUGGGACACCGUCUUCCACCUGAUGGCAAAACUCGAGUCGCAUCGCAUUAUUUCUGCCUUAUGCACAAAUUGAUGUU